GGUGACUGCGUACCUUUUGUAUAAUGGGUCAGCGACUUAUAUUCUGUAGCAAGGUUAACCGUAUAGGGGAGCCGGAGGGAAACCGAGUCUUAACCGGGCGUUAAGUUGCAGGGUAUAGACCCGAAACCCGGUGAUCUAGCCAUGGGCAGGUUGAAGGUUGGGUAACACUAACUGGAGGACCGAACCGACUAAUGUUGAAAAAUUAGCGGAUGACCUGUGGCUGGGGGUGAAAGGCCAAUCAAACCGGGAGAUAGCUGGUUCUCCCCGAAAGCUAUUUAGGUAGCGCCUCGUGAAUUCAUCUCCGGGGGUAGAGCACUGUUUCGGCUAGGGGGUCAUCCCGACUUACCAACCCGAUGCAAACUGCGAAUACCGGAGAAUGUUAUCACGGGAGACACACGGCGGGUGCUAACGUCCGUCGUGAAGAGGGAAACAACCCAGACCGCCAGCUAAGGUCCCAAAGUCAUGGUUAAGUGGGAAACGAUGUGGGAAGGCCCAGACAGCCAGGAUGUUGGCUUAGAAGCAGCCAUCAUUUAAAGAAAGCGUAAUAGCUCACUGGUCGAGUCGGCCUGCGCGGAAGAUGUAACGGGGCUAAACCAUGCACCGAAGCUGCGGCAGCGACACUCAGGUGUUGUUGGGUAGGGGAGCGUUCUGUAAGCCUGCGAAGGUGGCCUGUGAGGGUUGCUGGAGGUAUCAGAAGUGCGAAUGCUGACAUAAGUAACGAUAAAGCGGGUGAAAAGCCCGCUCGCCGGAAGACCAAGGGUUCCUGUCCAACGUUAAUCGGGGCAGGGUGAGUCGACCCCUAAGGCGAGGCCGAAAGGCGUAGUCGAUGGGAAACGGGUUAAUAUUCCCGUACUUGGUGUUACUGCGAAGGGGGGACGGAGAAGGCUAUGUUGGCCGGGCGACGGUUGUCCCGGUUUAAGCGUGUAGGUGUGUGUUCCAGGUAAAUCCGGUUCACUUUAACACUGAGGCGUGAUGACGAGGCACUACGGUGCUGAAGCAACAAAUGCCCUGCUUCCAGGAAAAGCCUCUAAGCAUCAGGUAACAUCAAAUCGUACCCCAAACCGACACAGGUGGUCAGGUAGAGAAUACCAAGGCGCUUGAGAGAACUCGGGUGAAGGAACUAGGCAAAAUGGUGCCGUAACUUCGGGAGAAGGCACGCUGACACGUAGGUGAAGUGAUUUACUCACGGAGCUGAAGUCAGUCGAAGAUACCAGCUGGCUGCAACUGUUUAUUAAAAACACAGCACUGUGCAAACACGAAAGUGGACGUAUACGGUGUGACGCCUGCCCGGUGCCGGAAGGUUAAUUGAUGGGGUCAGCGCAAGCGAAGCUCCUGAUCGAAGCCCCGGUAAACGGCGGCCGUAACUAUAACGGUCCUAAGGUAGCGAAAUUCCUUGUCGGGUAAGUUCCGACCUGCACGAAUGGCGUAAUGAUGGCCAGGCUGUCUCCACCCGAGACUCAGUGAAAUUGAACUCGCUGUGAAGAUGCAGUGUACCCGCGGCAAGACGGAAAGACCCCGUGAACCUUUACUAUAGCUUGACACUGAACAUUGAGCCUUGAUGUGUAGGAUAGGUGGGAGGCUUUGAAGCGUGGACGCCAGUCUGCGUGGAGCCGACCUUGAAAUACCACCCUUUAAUGUUUGAUGUUCUAACGUGGACCCGUAAUCCGGGUUGCGGACAGUGUCUGGUGGGUAGUUUGACUGGGGCGGUCUCCUCCUAAAGAGUAACGGAGGAGCACGAAGGUUGGCUAAUCCUGGUCGGACAUCAGGAGGUUAGUGCAAUGGCAUAAGCCAGCUUGACUGCGAGCGUGACGGCGCGAGCAGGUGCGAAAGCAGGUCAUAGUGAUCCGGUGGUUCUGAAUGGAAGGGCCAUCGCUCAACGGAUAAAAGGUACUCCGGGGAUAACAGGCUGAUACCGCCCAAGAGUUCAUAUCGACGGCGGUGUUUGGCACCUCGAUGUCGGCUCAUCACAUCCUGGGGCUGAAGUAGGUCCCAAGGGUAUGGCUGUUCGCCAUUUAAAGUGGUACGCGAGCUGGGUUUAGAACGUCGUGAGACAGUUCGGUCCCUAUCUGCCGUGGGCGCUGGAGAACUGAGGGGGGCUGCUCCUAGUACGAGAGGACCGGAGUGGACGCAUCACUGGUGUUCGGGUUGUCAUGCCAAUGGCACUGCCCGGUAGCUAAAUGCGGAAGAGAUAAGUGCUGAAAGCAUCUAAGCACGAAACUUGCCCCGAGAUGAGUUCU
Molecule: ribosomal RNA, 2237 nt
Filed under: Salmonella enterica
Lineage: Bacteria; Pseudomonadati; Pseudomonadota; Gammaproteobacteria; Enterobacterales; Enterobacteriaceae
Description: bacterial LSU rRNA
Rfam family: Bacterial large subunit ribosomal RNA
Source: RNAcentral